AAGACCUACAUGACAAUGAAUGAAAAUUUCGCCACAUAUUUCGUGGUCUGAUAUAAAAAGGCCCUCCUCUUUUAUGGUAACGGAACCCGCAGUCCUGAUUCAGUCAACAACCGAUACGAGCACAAAAAGGAACCCCCAACGACACGACCCAGGACCAGCCCACAGUCCCAUCUUCCAUCUCCAGCGCGCCGCCACCCUUGCCAUGCCGCCGCGUGCCGCGUCCCCUGCCACGCCCUCGCACCCCGCCUACCCCGUCGAUGCUCCUCCCCUUGUCGCAUGCGCCCCCACCUCUGCGGCCUUCGUCUGUCGAUCGGUGAGGAUGCAGCCAGCAAGGUUGCUGCCUAGGGUUGGCGGCGGAGUCGCUAGCGGCAAAGCUUUGGCUGUGGAUGCACAGAUGGGAAGGAGCCACCACAACAACCAGGAGAGUCUUCGUAGGGAGAAGCAACAUAGAGGACUCGCAAGGCGGCAGCGGCGACGAGCCCGGCGGUCUUGCCAACCGCACACACCUCGCCGAUAAAUUCUCGAUACCUAGGCAGGUUGGAUAGGUAGCUGGCUACUACCAUGUGAAACCAUUGAAUUAUUCUUGCAUAUUCAGGUAUGCGGAGUGACAUUAUGAGAAUUGGCAAGCAGACUCUGUGCUUGUUAGGAGAUUGUGCUUGCUUGCAUCAAGCUAUGGACUUGCUAGAUAAAUAAUAUAAAGGUGUGUUUGGUGCUUAUAUGAGGCUCCAAAAUAUGACUAUACGUACUACUUUGUUUUAUUCUUUGUAUUUGUCUGGAUAUUACCGAACGGAUCUAGAGCAUAGCCAUUGCGUUAUAGAGAGAGGUGGGGAUUGCUGCUGCUAUUUUUUAAUGAACGGUUGCUAGAUAUUGCUGAUGUAUAUAUAUAAUAUAGAUAUUGGCUGACCAGCUGCAUAUUCGUAUGACUUGUUCGACUCA
Long non-coding RNA from Hordeum vulgare subsp. vulgare (domesticated barley), 936 nucleotides. RefSeq lists it as uncharacterized. NCBI's taxonomy places the organism in Eukaryota, Viridiplantae, Streptophyta, Magnoliopsida, Poales, Poaceae. The transcript has 3 exons. The record is from RefSeq and is a predicted model, not a curated record.